Molecule: long non-coding RNA, 993 nt
Organism: Brassica napus (rape)
Lineage: Eukaryota; Viridiplantae; Streptophyta; Magnoliopsida; Brassicales; Brassicaceae
Exons: 3
Source: RefSeq, a predicted model, not a curated record
CGCACGUUCCAAGUCGCCGGUAUAACGGCUCCCAUCCACAACAAUGAUUCAUCAAAUCGAAUUCAUUACUGUAGCUCUUCACAUCCCUUAUCUUCCCCCAAUAUAUUUCUCUCUGAUUUUUGCUUCUUUUAUGCUAUCUCUUCACAUCCCGUACAUUCACCUUCUAUAUGUCUAUCCUCUUUUUGAUUCUCACCACUCUACAGGGCCACCAAAAGAAAUCUCAUGCAUCAAUCAAAGAAAACGUCAAAAUAUACGAGAUGGCUAUGGCUUCUCUAAUCUUCAACGAUAUUGUCCCAGGCUUGAGGGAGGCGACGCUGAACUUCAGUUGACAUCCUUCGAUUGAUAGAGUAGUAACCUAUCAACGGUGCCAAUUUGUUAUGAUAGGGUACUCUAGGGUAAUCAAGAAGAGAAGAGAUGGUUUCACCUAUGGCUUAGACGAGAAGAGAGGAAAACCGCUUUCUCUGAAAUACAGCUUGGAGGAGUUGCAGACAAUUGUCGAUGAUAUGGACUAUGGAUUACGACUUACGAUCAGAACCGUUAGUCGGAGAGUUCUUUGAUUAUAAUGUUGGGAUGGGGUUGAAAUCAGAGGAUUUAUGUAACGGAGAGAAGGGUUAGGCUGAUAAUUUUAAUACUUGGUGUGGCUCAACAUUGUCGUUGAUGUAUACAUGGGAAGAACCUGAGCAGAUAGAUUGUUGAGAGCCGUUGCAGUGUGCUUCCUGGUUUGAAAACAGCUGUUCCUUAUGAUUAUCUUGACUUUAGUUCUGGUAGUGAUUGGGAUCAAGUUUUUAAGAAAGCGGAAGAGGAGUUUCAGAAAGAGAAUUAGAGGUCGGAUGAAGUUGUUUGAGCUUUUUUUUCCACUUCAUCUUCCUCUUUAAAGUGUUGUCUUCAUGUUCUUAAAGUUGUAACCUUGAUUGUGUUUGUUGUGCCUCUUUGUUACUUUUUGGCAUUAUUUAUUUUCUAAGCAAUGGACCAGUACGAUCCAGUUAGGUUGAA